GUUACCGCCGCGACGCGGCCCGCGGGCGCCAUCUUGUGGGCAGGCGGCCAUUAGCCGCGGGCGCGCCGGUCACGUCCCCCUUCUCCUGAGGGGGCUCCCGGGCGGCCGGGCCGAUCGGUACGGCCGGCGCUGCGGAGCGCGCGGGCCCCGCCGGUCGGAGCGGCGGCGGCUGCCGGCCCCAGGGUGCCCUGAGGGGGCUCAUGUCGGGGGCGCUGGCGGCUGUUUCCAGCACAGCGCCCAACAGUGACCUGAGUGCACGAGUUGUGGGGGCGUGACGGCUCCGAGGCUUUCAGAAUUCCCUUGUUUCCCCUUUCUCUCCGAGCACUUGAUUUACGGAUGAAAGACUUCGCAACUCAGGGUUGUAAAGCAGAUUGUGGAGUCUGUUUUCCGCAAUUCAGUAGGGACGCAGCGAUGCGUUUGAAGUCCUCUACAUCUGCGCUGAGAUAUGGACCUAACUUGCAAAGCAAAUGUGGAAAAUGUCUGCAAGCAUGGGACUGAAAGAGAUGACACUUGGGGAGGGAAGUCUGUGAGACGGUCAGUUUGCUGCUGCUGCCACUGAUGGGGAGCCUCUUGAGGGUCGUGGUACCAUCUCAGAGCAACGACCCAAGGAGGCAGCUGACUUCUGU
Tyto alba (common barn owl) is the source of this 626-nucleotide long non-coding RNA. RefSeq lists it as uncharacterized. The record is from RefSeq and is a predicted model, not a curated record. Lineage: Eukaryota; Metazoa; Chordata; Aves; Strigiformes; Tytonidae. The transcript has 4 exons.